UACAGAGGGGGCAAGCGUUAUUCGGAAUUAUUGGGCGUAAAGGGCGCGUAGGCGGCUUUGCAAGUGACGGGUGAAAGCCCUCGGCUUAACCGAGGAACUGCCUGUCAGACUGUAAGGCUUGAGACCGGGAGAGGUGAGUGGAAUUCCCAGUGUAGCGGUGAAAUGCGUAGAUAUCUGGAGGAACACCGGUGGCGAAGGCGGCGUCCUGGACCAAUACUGACGCUGAGGAGCGAAAGCCAGGGGAGCAAACGGG
Molecule: ribosomal RNA, 253 nt
Filed under: uncultured bacterium
Lineage: Bacteria
Description: partial 16S ribosomal RNA
Rfam family: Bacterial small subunit ribosomal RNA
Source: RNAcentral